This 76-nucleotide microRNA precursor is filed under the name Podarcis lilfordi (Lilford's wall lizard). The record is from RNAcentral. Lineage: Eukaryota; Metazoa; Chordata; Lepidosauria; Squamata; Lacertidae.
GCGCCAGGCAAAUAUAUAUAUAUAUAUAUAUAUAUAUAUAUAUAUAUAUAUAUAUAUAUAUUUUCCACCAGGACUU